UCAACCCUCCAAGGCUGGCUUGGUGUUGGGCCGUAUGGCGAUGACCCAGUGACCCUGGGUCGUCGCCGGUCCCAAAGGCAACGACGGCUCUGGACGACCCUCAGUACACGGAGCUUGACCCCGAGCACGUACUGGUGUGGGCGUCCGGACCCGUCCCCCUGUCGACUCUCGACGA
Molecule: unclassified non-coding RNA, 175 nt
Filed under: uncultured Ascomycota
Lineage: Eukaryota; Fungi; Ascomycota
Description: sequence contains ITS2
Source: RNAcentral